This 444-nucleotide ribosomal RNA is filed under the name Triticum aestivum (bread wheat). RNAcentral describes it as "partial small subunit ribosomal RNA". The record is from RNAcentral. Lineage: Eukaryota; Viridiplantae; Streptophyta; Magnoliopsida; Poales; Poaceae.
AUGGCCGGAAGGAAGGGCGGUGACAGGAAGAAGGCGGUGACCCGCUCCGUCAAGGCCGGGCUCCAGUUCCCCGUAGGCCGCAUCGGGCGUUACCUCAAGAAGGGCCGCUACGCCCAGCGCGUCGGCUCCGGCGCCCCCGUCUACCUUGCCGCCGUCCUCGAGUACCUGGCCGCCGAGGUCCUGGAGCUUGCCGGCAACGCGGCCAAGGACAACAAGAAGACCCGCAUCAUCCCGCGCCACCUGCUUCUCGCCGUCCGCAACGACCAGGAGCUCGGCAAGCUGCUCGCCGGCGUGACCAUCGCCCACGGCGGCGUCAUCCCCAACAUCAACUCUGUGCUGCUCCCCAAGAAGUCCCCGGCCGCCGCCGAGAAGGAGGCCAAGUCGCCCAAGAAGAAGACGGCCACCAAGUCCCCCAAGAAGAAGGUCGCUGCCACCAAGGAAUAG